RNAcentral lists this transfer RNA (87 nucleotides) under Puniceicoccales bacterium. RNAcentral's name for it is "tRNA-Arg". It matches the Rfam family "tRNA". From Rfam's summary of the family: Transfer RNA (tRNA) molecules are approximately 80 nucleotides in length. Their secondary structure includes four short double-helical elements and three loops (D, anti-codon, and T loops). The record is from RNAcentral. Lineage: Bacteria; Pseudomonadati; Verrucomicrobiota; Opitutia; Puniceicoccales.
GAAGAGAUGGCUGAGUGGUCGAAAGCGUCUUCUCCCUAAGAAGGUGACCCGCCAGCGAAGGUCCGAGGGUUCGAAUCCCUCUCUCCG